AGUGAACGCUGGCGGUAGGCCUAACACAUGCAAGUCGAACGGCAGCACAGUAAGAGCUUGCUCUUACGGGUGGCGAGUGGCGGACGGGUGAGGAAUACAUCGGAAUCUACUUUUUCGUGGGGGAUAACGUAGGGAAACUUACGCUAAUACCGCAUACGACCUACGGGUGAAAGCAGGGGAUCUUCGGACCUUGCGCGAUUGAAUGAGCCGAUGUCGGAUUAGCUAGUUGGCGGGGUAAAGGCCCACCAAGGCGACGAUCCGUAGCUGGUCUGAGAGGAUGAUCAGCCACACUGGAACUGAGACACGGUCCAGACUCCUAGGGGAGGCAGCAGUGGGGAAUAUUGGAAAAUGGGCGCAAGCCUGAUCCAGCCAUACCGCGUGGGUGAAGAAGGCCUUCGGGUUGUAAAGCCCUUUUGUUGGGAAAGAAAAGCAGCAGGUUAAUACCCCGCUGUUCUGACGGUACCCAAAGAAUAAGCACCGGCUAACUUCGU
RNAcentral lists this ribosomal RNA (491 nucleotides) under uncultured bacterium. Its description in RNAcentral is "partial 16S ribosomal RNA". It matches the Rfam family "Bacterial small subunit ribosomal RNA", at positions 29 to 506 of the family's 1533-position model. The record is from RNAcentral.